UGGAUCAGAAUGAACGCUGGCGGCAUGCUUAACACAUGCAAUGUCGAACGCGUGGCGCAAGCCACGAGUGGCGCACGGGUGAGUAACGCGUCGGAACCUGCCCUGGAGUGCGGCGAUAACCCGGUGAAAGCCGGGGUAAGACCGCAUACGCCUUGGCGUCGAGCCUUGGGGAAAGAUUUAUCGCUCUUGGAGGGGCCCGCGUCGGAUUAGCUAGUUGGUGGGGUAACGGCCCACCAAGGCGGUGAUCCGUAGCUGGUCUGAGAGGAUGAUCAGCCACACUGGGACUGAGACACGGCCCAUGAUCCUACGGGAGGCA
RNAcentral lists this ribosomal RNA (316 nucleotides) under uncultured bacterium. RNAcentral describes it as "bacterial SSU rRNA". It matches the Rfam family "Bacterial small subunit ribosomal RNA", at positions 20 to 350 of the family's 1533-position model. The record is from RNAcentral.